RNAcentral lists this ribosomal RNA (124 nucleotides) under Schizosaccharomyces cryophilus OY26. The record is from RNAcentral. Lineage: Eukaryota; Fungi; Ascomycota; Schizosaccharomycetes; Schizosaccharomycetales; Schizosaccharomycetaceae.
AUCUACGGCCAUAUUUAGGAGAAAACACCAGUUCCCGUCCGGUUACUACAGUAAAGCGUCUGAGGGCCUAGCCUCGUUGGUACUAUGGUUGGAGACAACAUGGGAAUCCAGGGUGCUAUAGACC